UGGGGAAUAUUGCACAAUGGGCGCAAGCCUGAUGCAGCCAUGCCGCGUGUAUGAAGAAGGCCUUCGGGUUGUAAAGUACUUUCAGCGGGGAGGAAGGGAGUAAAGUUAAUACCUUUGCUCAUUGACGAUACCCGCAGAAGAAGCACCGGCUAACUCCGUGCCAGCAGCCGCGGUAAUACGGAGGGUGCAAGCGUUAAUCGGAAUUACUGGGCGUAAAGCGCACGCAGGCGGUUGAUUGAGUCAGAUGUGAAAUCCCCGGGCUUAACCCGGGAAUUGCAUCUGAUACUGGUCAGCUAGAGUCUUGUAGAGGGGGGUAGAAUUCCAUGUGUAGCGGUGAAAUGCGUAGAGAUGUGGAGGAAUACCGGUGGCGAAGGCGGCCCCCUGGACAAAGACUGACGCUCAGGUGCGAAAGCGUGGGGAGCAAACAGG
RNAcentral lists this ribosomal RNA (429 nucleotides) under Chloroflexota bacterium. RNAcentral's name for it is "Chloroflexi bacterium partial 16S ribosomal RNA". It matches the Rfam family "Bacterial small subunit ribosomal RNA", at positions 355 to 776 of the family's 1533-position model. The record is from RNAcentral. Lineage: Bacteria; Bacillati; Chloroflexota.